UACGGGGGGGGCAAGCGUUGUUCGGAAUUACUGGGCGUAAAGGGCUCGUAGGUGGCCAACUAAGUCAGACGUGAAAUCCCCAGGCUCAACUUGGGAACUGCGUCUGAUACUGGAUGGCUUGAAUUCGGGAGAGGGAUGCAGAAUUCCAGGUGUAGCGGUGAAAUGCGUAGAUAUCUGGAGGAACACCGGUGGCGAAGGCGGCAUCCUGGACCAACACUGACGCUGAUGCACGAAAGCGUGGGGAGCAAACAGG
This 253-nucleotide ribosomal RNA is filed under the name uncultured bacterium. RNAcentral describes it as "partial 16S ribosomal RNA". It matches the Rfam family "Bacterial small subunit ribosomal RNA", at positions 524 to 776 of the family's 1533-position model. The record is from RNAcentral.